Molecule: RNA transcript, 2536 nt
Organism: Papaver somniferum (opium poppy)
Lineage: Eukaryota; Viridiplantae; Streptophyta; Magnoliopsida; Ranunculales; Papaveraceae
Gene name: protein ROOT PRIMORDIUM DEFECTIVE 1-like
Exons: 6
Source: RefSeq, a predicted model, not a curated record
UAUGCGUGCACUAUCGCACCAGGGACACAGUCCCCAUUUUUGUUUCCAUGAACACCUAACCAGAAACAAACCAUACAGAAAAUUUCCCUAAAAGGCUAAAAUCCCUUUUACACCCAGAAAAUUUCCCUCUCUCGCUCAGAUUUCUCUCUUCUUUCUCGAAUCACAGAUUUCUCUCUUAUUUCUCGAAUCACCAUUGCGAAUCUUCAAUAUCGACUGUGGACUAAUUAAAGAAAGAAAAGUUGAAGAAAUUGUUGAAAAUCAAUUAGAUUAAAUCAAAAUUGGGGAAAAAGGUUUCUGUAAUUCUUCCUCUGCAAACUUCACUUUGGCACCAAAGUCACCAUUCUAUAGGUGCAUACAUGGAGUCCAGAAGGUAUAGGGACAGAGGAUACGUGCUCAAGUCUCAAGUGAGAUUCUCUCAGUGAGAGUCCAGUAGCUUGAACCAUUACUAAUGCAACAUAAUUAUUUUCCUCUUCAUUGGAAUGGCAGUAGCAUUGCAUAAUUAUUGUCCGUGGUUUCAGAAAAUCUGUUAUUCAGAUAAGAAGGAAGUAUUUGAAAAGAGAGAAAGGAAAAUCACAUGCUAUUAUUCAUAAGUGGAUUGGACAGCUUUGCACAAGAGUAGUCAGUCAAUUGCGCUUAACUGAAAAGAAUAACAAAGUAUAAAUCCUGGAUGAGUACUGAUAGAACGAAAAAACGCUAUAGAGAAGGAGUCGCGGUGUUUCUGCGGUAUGCUGUCAACCAUUCUUCAUUUUUUACUUGGCAGGAAAUACAAAGAGAGAGUUACAUGGUUCUAUGAGUGAAACCUCCACUAAUGGCGAUUCAAACCCUAACAAGAAUCAAAUUCGUCUUCAAAUACCCGUAUACUAAACUCAUUUCUAUCAGAUUCAAAACAACAUCAGCUGAAUAUGUAGCAUCAAGAGCUAGAGACCCAACUUUUGAUAAACUAAUGAAAAAUUACAAGAACUAUCUAAAAGUUGUUUCUGUUCAAGAUCUUUUACUUGCAGACACUACCAAUAACUCAUCAAUAUCAGUCCAUUUUCUUUCUAAACUCUCUCAAAAACUUCAUCUCAAUCAUGGUGCUUCAUCUUUCCUCCGUAAAUACCCUCAUAUUUUCAACAUCUUUUAUAAUCAUUCAAAGUCUGAGCCUUUCUAUAAAUUAACUGAUAAAGCUCUUCAAAUCUCCCGAGAAGAAGCUGCAGCGAUCGAAGCUUCGAAACCCAUUGUUAUUGAACGAUUAGUUCGGAUCCUAUCAAUGUCAGUAUCUAAAUCUUUACCACUUCGUGCAGUUUUUAAGGUGUGGAGAGAACUUGGAUUACCAGAUGGUUUUGAGGAAUCGAUAAUUUCUCAAAAUCCUAAGCUUUUUUCACUUUCGGAUGCCCCAAAUGAACCCAAUACUCAUAUUAUUAAAUUGGAAUCUAUAAACCCUAAUUUUAUUACUGCAGUUGAGAAUUGGAGAGAAGAUGAGUGCAAUAAGAAGGAUUCUAAGGUUGAUGAAUCCCAAAUUAGAUUUGCUUUCAAACAAGGGUAUCCACCUGGGAUGAAACUUGGUAAAGUAUUUAGAGGAAAAGUAAAGGAAUGGCAGACGUUGUCAUACGUUGGACCUUAUGAUCAGAUGGGAGAGAAAGGGAAACCGAAAGCUGGUGUCAAGGCGUUGGAGAAAAGGGCUGUAGGAAUUGUUCACGAGUUCUUAAGUUUGACAGUCGAAAAGAUGAUAGAGGUGGAGAAGAUUAGUCAUUUUAGAAAAUGGUUUGGUAUUGAUUUGAAUAUUAGGGACUUGUUUUUAGAUCACCCCGGAAUUUUUUAUCUAUCUACUAAAGGUAAAACACACACUGUUUUUCUAAGAGAAGCUUUUGAGAGGGGUUGUUUAAUUGAACCAAAUCCUGUAUACAUUGCGAGAAGAAAGCUUCUUGAUCUUGUUAUUAUGAGUCGACGAGGUUUGUUUUUGACACAGUCGGAUACAAGGAACAUAAGAGCAAGAGAGGAGGUUGAGUUGACCGAAGAUGACGAUGAUUAGCAUUUCCUGUUUGAGAAGUUGGAUAGUGAGAAAGGAUGAGAUAUCUUUGGUUGGAAAGGAAGAGACAAUUGGCUUGCAGGAACAGAACCAACCUUGAUCGUUUACUUGAAGAUAAAUUUGGAUUUGGUGACAUAUUAAACCUUCACAACUACACCAAGUCUCCUCUUUAUGCCUUGGUGUAUUGGUGUUUGAUCACUAGGCAUUACAUUAUGCUAUCUGCUUCAACUUUAUCAUGGUCUGUAAUGAAAGCUGUGUCAGUAUGUUUGAGGAGAAAAACUUCGAGGAUUGAAGUAUAGUUCCAAACAAGUUAGAUAAUUUUGGAGGAAGUCGUUGCUGAACUAUGCCAACUGGAGGUGUUACCCAAAUUGGUAUCUCAUGUUCUUUAUCUCUUAAAUAUAGUGUGUCAUUCAGAAAACGCUAAACAACUUGUAAAUCAAUUACACUUGGUUGUUUUUUUUAUAAUUAUCUUAAAUUUUGGACACUAUUGAACCCUUACUUGGGACCAUAAUUUUAAAAGUGACCAGA